Molecule: transfer RNA, 100 nt
Filed under: Rhodotorula mucilaginosa
Lineage: Eukaryota; Fungi; Basidiomycota; Microbotryomycetes; Sporidiobolales; Sporidiobolaceae
Also listed under: 1 other name
Description: tRNA-Tyr
Rfam family: tRNA
About the family: Transfer RNA (tRNA) molecules are approximately 80 nucleotides in length. Their secondary structure includes four short double-helical elements and three loops (D, anti-codon, and T loops). Further hydrogen bonds mediate the characteristic L-shaped molecular structure. tRNAs have two regions of fundamental functional importance: the anti-codon, which is responsible for specific mRNA codon recognition, and the 3' end, to which the tRNAs corresponding amino acid is attached (by aminoacyl-tRNA synthetases). tRNAs cope with the degeneracy of the genetic code in two manners: having more than one tRNA (with a specific anti-codon) for a particular amino acid; and 'wobble' base-pairing, i.e. permitting non-standard base-pairing at the 3rd anti-codon position.
Source: RNAcentral
CCCUUCUUAGCUCAGUUGGAAGAGCGUCAGACUGUAAGCGGUUGAGGAUUCAUCAUUCUUAGGAAUCUGAAGGUCUCUGGUUCGAUCCCGGAAGAAGGGA